Molecule: long non-coding RNA, 356 nt
Filed under: Mytilus galloprovincialis (Mediterranean mussel)
Lineage: Eukaryota; Metazoa; Mollusca; Bivalvia; Mytilida; Mytilidae
Source: RNAcentral
CAUAGAUUGCCUAAGGCUUCGAAGAACCAUAGUGUGAUACCAUUUACCGAUUACCAAAAAUUACGAAGCGAUGUACUGAAGAUCAGCCAAUACUGUAGCAAACAUAAUAAAAAGUUUGAAAUGUUUUGCCAGAAACAUGAACGUCCUUGCUGCAGUAAAUGUAUAGUAGAAACACAUAAAUAAUGUCGGGAUAUUGUCGACUUAGAUUACGUUAUUAAGAAUUACGAAACGCCUAAUGCCCUAUUUGAGAUUGAGAAAACAUUAGUUGAAGUAGCAGAAAAUCUACAGAAAAUUCGCCACCAUCACCAGAACAAUAUGUCGACUUUGAAAGGAAAAAGAAAGGAAAUUGAGAGAGA